Molecule: ribosomal RNA, 196 nt
Filed under: uncultured Bacillus sp.
Lineage: Bacteria; Bacillati; Bacillota; Bacilli; Caryophanales; Bacillaceae
Description: partial 16S ribosomal RNA
Rfam family: Bacterial small subunit ribosomal RNA
Source: RNAcentral
UCCUACGGGAGGCAGCAGUAGGGAAUCUUCCGCAAUGGACGAAAGUCUGACGGAGCAACGCCGCGUGAGUGAUGAAGGCUUUCGGGUCGUAAAACUCUGUUGUUAGGGAAGAACAAGUGCUAGUUGAAUAAGCUGGCACCUUGACGGUACCUAACCAGAGGGCCACGGCUAACUACGUGCCAGCAGCCGCGGUAAU